GAUGAACGCUGGCGGCGUGCCUAAUACAUGCCAGUCGAGCGAACAGACGAGGAGCUUGCUCCUCUGACGUUAGCGGCGGACGGGUGAGUAACACGUGGAUAACCUACCUAUAAGACUGGGAUAACUUCGGGAAACCGGAGCUAAUACCGGAUAAUAUAUUGAACCGCAUGGUUCAAUAGUGAAAGACGGUUUUGCUGUCACUUAUAGAUGGAUCCGCGCCGCAUUAGCUAGUUGGUAAGGUAACGGCUUACCAAGGCAACGAUGCGUAGCCGACCUGAGAGGGUGAUCGGCCACACUGGAACUGAGACACGGUCCAGACUCCUACGGGAGGCAGCAGUAGGGAAUCUUCCGCAAUGGGCGAAAGCUUGACGGAGCAACGCCGCGUGAGUGAUGAAGGUCUUCGGAUCGUAAACCUCUGUUAUUAGGGAAGAACAAAUGUGUAAGUAACUAUGCACGUCUUGACGGUACCUAAUCAGAAAGCCACGGCUAACUACGUG
This 497-nucleotide ribosomal RNA is filed under the name uncultured bacterium. Its description in RNAcentral is "partial 16S ribosomal RNA". It matches the Rfam family "Bacterial small subunit ribosomal RNA", at positions 28 to 507 of the family's 1533-position model. The record is from RNAcentral.